UGGGGAAUUUUGGACAAUGGGCGAAAGCCUGAUCCAGCAAUGCCGCGUGUGUGAAGAAGGCCUUCGGGUUGUAAAGCACUUUUGUCCGGAAAGAAAUCCUUGGCUCUAAUACAGUCGGGGGAUGACGGUACCGGAAGAAUAAGCACCGGCUAACUACGUGCCAGCAGCCGCGGUAAUACGUAGGGUGCAAGCGUUAAUCGGAAUUACUGGGCGUAAAGCGUGCGCAGGCGGUUUGCUAAGACCGAUGUGAAAUCCCCGGGCUCAACCUGGGAACUGCAUUGGUGACUGGCAGGCUAGAGUAUGGCAGAGGGGGGUAGAAUUCCACGUGUAGCAGUGAAAUGCGUAGAGAUGUGGAGGAAUACCGAUGGCGAAGGCAGCCCCCUGGGCCAAUACUGACGCUCAUGCACGAAAGCGUGGGGAGCAAACAGGAUUAGAUACCCUGGUAGUCCACGCCCUAAACGAUGUCAACUAGUUGUUGGGGAUUCAUUUCCUUAGUAACUAGCUAACGCGUGAAGUUGACCGCCUGGGGAGUACGGUCGCAAGAUUAAAACUCAAAUGAAUUGAC
Molecule: ribosomal RNA, 565 nt
Filed under: uncultured bacterium
Lineage: Bacteria
Description: partial 16S ribosomal RNA
Rfam family: Bacterial small subunit ribosomal RNA
Source: RNAcentral